This 73-nucleotide transfer RNA is filed under the name Blattella germanica (German cockroach). RNAcentral's name for it is "tRNA-Val (CAC) (tRNA-Val-CAC-9-1)". It matches the Rfam family "tRNA". Rfam says of the family: Transfer RNA (tRNA) molecules are approximately 80 nucleotides in length. Lineage: Eukaryota; Metazoa; Arthropoda; Insecta; Blattodea; Blattellidae. The record is from RNAcentral.
GUUUCCGUGGUGUAGUGGUUAUCACGUCCGCCUCACACGCGGAAGGUCCCCUGUUCGAUUCUGAGCGGAAACA